This 254-nucleotide ribosomal RNA is filed under the name uncultured bacterium. Its description in RNAcentral is "partial 16S ribosomal RNA". It matches the Rfam family "Bacterial small subunit ribosomal RNA", at positions 524 to 776 of the family's 1533-position model. The record is from RNAcentral.
GACAGAGGAGCCAAGCGUUGUCCGGAUUGACUGGGCGUAAAGCGCACGCAGGCGGCCCGGCGCGUGGGGUGUGAAAGCUGGCGGCUUAACUGCCAGACGCCAUCCCAUACGGCUGGGCUCGAGCCCUGCAGAGGUCCAUGGAAUUGCCGGUGUAGUGGUGAAAUGCGUAGAGAUCGGCAGGAACACCCAGGGGGAAACCAGUGGACUGGGCAGGAGCUGACGCUCAGGUGCGAAAGCGUGGGGAGCGGAACCGG